Molecule: long non-coding RNA, 3525 nt
Organism: Equus caballus (horse)
Lineage: Eukaryota; Metazoa; Chordata; Mammalia; Perissodactyla; Equidae
Source: Ensembl
ACUGGCAGUGUCCUCUAAUUGCAGGCCAAGAGGAAGUUGCCAGGAGAGGUUAAACGACUUCCUAAAGCUGGACUGGCAAUCCUGACCUCCAACAUAAUAAUGUCUCAGCAGAACACUACUGAGUUGUCGUGGAUGUUGUUUCCCUCGUUGUGUCCUCUUAGAGAGCUGGAGAGAGUGUUAAAGGAAGAGCAGGGUAGGAACUAAUUGAGGCAAGCUCCUAGCAAGACAAUUAGCAACUUGAAGAUACGCCAGCUUCAUCCAUGACGGGGCUACUGGAAGAGAGUCUUUGGUGUCACACUAAUCCCAGGCACUAAGUUCCAUGUCUCUUAGCCCCCUUUACCUUAAAGGACAGUGUUUUCUCCUUGCCUGAUGGAUCUUCAGACUCUGGUCUGCGGCUCUGGUCCUGUGUGUUUCUCCUCCCGCCAUUCCGCCCUGAGCUGGAGGAAGACUCUUCAGGCAUGAGGGACAGCCAACACCUACAUUCUGUAGCCACAGGAUCCUGCACAGCUUGCCCUCUGGCCCAUUCUCCACAGCUGAAAAGCCACCAGGUGCCAGGCCUGAUCUGGGAAGAUGACAUAGAUGAUUUCAUUUAACUUGCUCAGCUGACCUACAAGGGCACUAUUUUACUCCUAUUUGUGGGAGAGUUGACGGCGCUUGAAGAAAUGAAAUGAUUUUUCCCAAGUUGUCCCAGCUGGUAGGUGGUGCAGGGAUGAGCUGAACCAGAUCUGCUUGGUGUGGAUGCCUGCACUCUUGCCACCCUAGAACAUCAGCCGGCCUUCUCUCAUGGGGAAAGAACCUGAGACUCACAAAGUGACUUGGCCAAGGCUCGAUUACGGAAUGUGAGACCUGGAAAAGCCGUUAGAGGGUAUGAAGCUCAACUUGCUCAUUUUAUGAGGGAGGAAAUUGAGGUUCCGAGAAACUGGGUUGAGCUGGAGGCCUGCUGACUGGGGGCUGUGAAGCCAGUACCCUGCCAUCCCUCUUGGCCUUUGUUCUAGUGUAUAAGCUCAGACAACUGCCCCUUCACUUUCCUGGGCUGCUCCUCUUUCAGAAUCCACCUCUGGGUGAUUAAUUGUGCUGGGCAGGCUGAUGCCUGAAGCCUCUGUUUCCUCUAGGGAAGGUAGAUGACUAAGCGAUGGAGUUAUGGUCUCUCUCUGUAAGAACACUCCUAUUCUGGUGUUUAGGAAUUUGCCUCCAAAAUCUAGGCAAAACGUGGCUAUUCCCUAGCAUGGGGAGAGCUGCGAUGGCUUUGAAAGCCAUGGAUGCAUACACUCUGAGGAGAAACAUCAGGCUGCAUUAGCAGAGAGUUAUGAGAUGUUUUGCAAAACUGGAUAUAAUUCCAGUGUUGGGAGAGUGAAGUUUUUUUCGUGAAUAUUACUUUGUUUGUUGAUUCUCAUCAAACUUUAGCUCACAUAAGAACCUGGAGGGCCUGUUACUACUCAAUCGCUUGGGCUCUAGCCCCAGGGGUUCUGAUCCAGGAGGUCUGGGUGCAGCCUGACGAUUCCCACUUCUCAUUGAAGCCCCUGGGUGAUGCUGAGGCACUAGGCUCCGUCGCCGACCACACCUCAGGAGCACUGCGUCAAUACACUUACUGAAGGCCAUCUGGGCCUCUGCAGGACAGCCGCCUCAGGACCCGACAAGCCUGAAUAGGGGAAGGUGGCCACACUUCUUUAAGGUUUUCGGUUUUCAGUAAAACAUAAUUUAUGAAGAAAGAACUAAGGAUGUCUACCACUUAGUCCAUCUGUUGACAAUUUAUUUUCCAUUGUAAACAAAUGUAGAUUCUACAAUUUAUUAUGCAUAAAUUUGGUGAUAAGAUGGGUGAAAUCCAGUCUUCUGAAAUAUGACAAUUGCACAAUAGAGUAAUACUUAACAAUAUCAUUUUCCUACACAGUGGAUGCUGCUGUUAUUUAUCCCAAAACUGCUGUCUACGGUGUUUCCAUUGUUUUUUGUAGAGUCCAGGGUCCCUCAUCCCAGGUUCAUUUAUAAACUCGACUCCUUACUAACGGCCCCAGUCUCUCUGGUCUCCCUCUCCCUUAGUUUGAGGAACACUAAAAGUUACAGGCAGGAUUAUGUUUACACGGAUCCAUUCCCUUUUCCAGUGGCUUUUCAAUGAUAAGGUGUGUGAUCCUGGCCGCAAAACUAAGAAAACUCUCAUUAAAGAACUGCUAUUUGAUCAAAGGAACCAAAGGCUCAAGUGAGGAAUCACCUUUUAAACGGCAGCUUCUCCUUGAUGUAAUUUGCGGGAGCGCUGCCAAGCAUUUAGGGCACAGAAACCAGCGAGCAGAGGCAGCAGCGUGCUGUUUUCCCUACAACUCCGGAGAUAAUUGUCCAUGCUGAUCUGUGAUUUAUUUCUUUCACUGAAAACUUCGAGGGAAGGAAUGCAUUCAGUGAAACAGAAAAGGGAGAAUCCAAAACACGUAUUUUUAAUUACUCCAAUAAAAUGCAACUGCAUAAAAAGGCCUCUUGACAGCUUUUGUGGUUAAAUUUCAUAAACAAAUUGGUAAAUUUUAGGACGUUUAUUUGCGAAAUUUACCAUCAGAGAGCACACUUCUUUGAGAACUGAGUAGGUCUGAUUUUCAAGCAGAAAAUCACAUGGUGCUUCCUUUGGAGUGGGUGAAGGCACGUGCAGAAAGCCGUGAGGAGGGCCGGUUGUGUCCUUAUCUCUGUUUGCGCCAUCCAGUCUCCUGCGCCCGGGCAGAGCCCCCAAGCCCCUUCUCCUGUUCUCUUGAAUUAUUCCACUCAGUUUCUAGUUGCACUUUUCUCACCCCAAGAGAAAAAACCCCGAGGAAUGAACGCUUCGUCUUUUAUAGUCAGCUAUUUUGGGAGGUAUUUGAGGCUGUCUUUGAACCUUAUUUCAUUUAAAUUGUUUUUUCAUGCUAAUGUUGUUCUCUACCUAAUUUUGGUCACUUCUUUGCAAUGCCCUUUCACAGAACAGAAACAGAAAUAGGUGCUAGUGUCACUGAGUGGAAGUUUGCUUCCCAAAUGCCCUAAUUGUCCUUAAUCCAAUUCUCUUAUAUCAGAGAACUAUAGCUGCCAGCGCCGUUGAGAAAGAAUAUUUUCCUUGCUUCUGACAGAUUCUUCCCCUAGUGCCUUGAUCCCAAGCCCUCCAAUUACGGUUGAGUGUCCUGGAGUCAUAAUGCCUGAACAUAAAUGGUCCUUAAGCAUCUAGGUUUUUUUCUGGCAGUUCACUAUUUUGUCUUCUUCUUUCUUAUUGACAGUUUUGUAAAAAUACUUUCAAGUUUGUCACGGCUAUAACAAAGGGCAUUGAAUGGAAGAAUCGCUCUCCUUUGAACCCUUCUUCAAUGCUGAAGUUUAAAAUUUUUUCUUUAUGUAUGUCAUGUUUUCCUGUUUCUGUUUUAUGUAUUCAGAAGACACUGCCAAGAAGGAGACUGUUGGAUCAAAAGGCAUUAAUGUUUUUCUAGCUCUUGAAACAAUUUGAGUAUAGUUUCACCAUGAUGAUACCAGAAUUUGGUGUUAGUUUUAUUGAAAUUUGUUUUGCAAUCUUAAUAGAUAGAUAAUGGUGCCUAU